This 1576-nucleotide ribosomal RNA is filed under the name Triticum aestivum (bread wheat). Its description in RNAcentral is "partial small subunit ribosomal RNA". The record is from RNAcentral. Lineage: Eukaryota; Viridiplantae; Streptophyta; Magnoliopsida; Poales; Poaceae.
GCUCGGGACCUCUUUGACGAUCGGAGACUGUUCACCCCCGUCGAACGUUGUCAGUCAGGGGAUCUGGGACUGAGAAGGUGGAGGAAGCGGGUAGCGGAGCGGCGGCGGAGGAAGGAGAGGGGGGAGGAGCCCGAGCCCGCGGAGUCAGUCGGGGGAGAGAGGAAUUUGGGAGCCGCGCUCGGUUUGGUUUUAGGCUGCUGGGAGGGUGUAAGGAACGGGGAGAGCGUUCGGCGCGGUACAGGGUGUAGCGCUCCAGCGCGGAGCGGGAGUGCGAGUUCAGGAGGCGGCGGGGGAAGAGGUGGUAAAGCGGGCGGCGGCGGCGUAGGGAGCGAAGCUUCCUCCGCGGACGGCGGCGGCGGCGUAGAAGGCGAGGGUUCCUCCGCCGGCGUCGACCGCUAGGGAGGGGCCGCGGUGGAAGCCCCCGGGCGUCGAGGAAGGCAGACGAGUUCCGGCCAUAGAAGUGGCGGCAGUGGCGGCGAGAGCCGCGGUGUCCGAUACAGUGUAUGCGAAUAAGGCACCUACUUCACCUAGUCUACUGCGCCCUCAAGGCCUUCUUGAGCUUCGAGGGUUAGUCGCUCCUGAACAGGCCGAAACUCUUCAAAUUCCGAUACCGAAUAAGCCUUUGACACUUUCAAGGACGACGACGAUAACUGGAGAUGAACCUACAGUCCUCGGUUUAACUUCUAGUUUAAGUCCCUAAACAACUUGGUAGUAGUCUUUUUGAGGAAGGUCUAGAUGGAGGAGUUCUUGUCGUACAGAAAUGGUAUCAAGACCUAGACUUACUCUGAGAACAUAUGAGUCUAACCUUCGCACUCUCUCCUACCUCCUGAAAGUUCUCUGGUCCUCACCUACGGAAAAACCUUGUAGAACGCUUCAAGAUACUUCAACAACACAUAAGACUAGUUAAUUCAUACAUGCAACUAGGACAAUACCUUUCUGACCUACGUUUUCCGACACAGGCCGUGUCCGAUAGUUCUCAACGUUGAUUUAUACACUUACCUUUUGUGAUAGCCCUAAACAGUUUCGACUUAUCUCUGGGACGUGCUCAAUAAAUAUAGUCACCCGUACGAGAACUGAGUACGGACGUCGGACUUUUAACAAACGGCUAGUUUGGUACCUUCGAACUUCGACUCCUGUGAGUUGACUAACUAGAAUAAGGUAACGAACUUACGGCACUGUAACGACGACUUAAAGAACUCGCAAGUUCCGCGCACAUACUCGUUUUUCUUGUUUUUGUUGUUGUACCUGCGUAAACCGCCGCUACUACUCACUUAGACGACCAUCCUUUCGUCUAGUAAGGUGGUUGAAGUUGUGUGGAUCUUGAAAAAAAAUCUUGACAUUCUGAACAGAAACAUUAAAACAGUUGAAACUAAAGUCCUUAGCGGAUGAAAACCAUUAACGCAGUACAAAGUUAAUGAUAUCCACAGAACCUGACUACAGACUGGUUCGAUAUACUCGUAAAAUACUAGUACGCUCCGCGUACAGUUAAAUUUCAAGUGAAACAACUGUAAACUGUUAUACUAUUAAACAAUUUUGUUCGAAGACCAUAAUAUAAAGUAACUAACGACAAUGGGUC